Molecule: ribosomal RNA, 279 nt
Filed under: uncultured bacterium
Lineage: Bacteria
Description: partial 16S ribosomal RNA
Rfam family: Bacterial small subunit ribosomal RNA
Source: RNAcentral
UGCCAGCAGCCGCGGUAAUACGUAGGGUGCAAGCGUUAAUCGGAAUUACUGGGCGUAAAGCGUGCGCAGGCGGUUUGCUAAGACAGUUGUGAAAUCCCCGGGCUCAACCUGGGAACUGCAAUUGUGACUGGUAGACUAGAGUUUGGCAGAGGGGGGUGGAAUUCCUGGUGUAGCAGUGAAAUGCGUAGAUAUCAGGAGGAACACCGAUGGCGAAGGCAGCCCCCUGGGCCAUGACUGACGCUCAUGUACGAAAGCGUGGGGAGCAAACAGGAUUAGAUA